This 29-nucleotide non-coding RNA is filed under the name Homo sapiens (human). Lineage: Eukaryota; Metazoa; Chordata; Mammalia; Primates; Hominidae. The record is from RNAcentral.
UGAGGGUGUCAUAUGGGCUUAUCAGGAAC